UGCUAGUUGUGCGGGUUUAGACCCGCAGCGGAAAGCUCAGUAACACGUGGCCAAACUACCCUGUGGAUGGGAACAAUCUCGGGAAACUGAGGCUAAUUCCCAAUAACGCUCCACCCCUGGAACGGGCGGAGCUGGAAACGCUACGGCGCCACAGGAUGUGGCUGCGGUCGAUUAGGUAGACGGUGGGGUAACGGCCCACCGUGCCAAUAAUCGGUACGGGUUGUGAGAGCAAGAGCCCGGAGACGGAAUCUGAGACAAGAUUCCGGGCCCUACGGGGCGCAGCAGGCGCGAAACCUUUACACUGUACGCAAGUGCGAUAAGGGGACUCCGAGUGUGAAGGCAUAGAGCCUUCACUUUUGUACACCGUAAGGUGGUGUACGAAUAAGGGCUGGGCAAGACCGGUGCCAGCCGCCGCGGUAAUACCGGCAGCCCGAGUGAUGGCCGAUAUUAUUGGGCCUAAAGCGUCCGUAGCUGGCCGGACAAGUCCGUUGGGAAAUCUGUUCGCUUAACGAGCAGGCGUCCAGCGGAAACUGUUCGGCUUGGGACCGGAAGACCUGAGGGGUACGUCCGGGGUAGGAGUGAAAUCCUGUAAUCCUGGACGGACCACCGGUGGCGAAAGCGCCUCAGGAGGACGGAUCCGACAGUGAGGGACGAAAGCUAGGGUCUCGAACCGGAUUAGAUACCCGGGUAGUCCUAGCUGUAAACGAUG
Molecule: ribosomal RNA, 709 nt
Filed under: Halobacterium noricense
Lineage: Archaea; Methanobacteriati; Methanobacteriota; Halobacteria; Halobacteriales; Halobacteriaceae
Description: bacterial SSU rRNA
Rfam family: Archaeal small subunit ribosomal RNA
Source: RNAcentral